ACCUGAAAUAGAGGCAUUGGUGGUAAUUUGAUUCCAUAAGUGCUCCCUUUGGGGUUG
MicroRNA precursor from Gadus morhua (Atlantic cod), 57 nucleotides. NCBI's taxonomy places the organism in Eukaryota, Metazoa, Chordata, Actinopteri, Gadiformes, Gadidae. The record is from Ensembl.